RNAcentral lists this long non-coding RNA (205 nucleotides) under Brassica napus (rape). RNAcentral describes it as "long non-coding RNA (BNAP_LNC003879)". Lineage: Eukaryota; Viridiplantae; Streptophyta; Magnoliopsida; Brassicales; Brassicaceae. The record is from RNAcentral.
UUUAUUUUAAGCUAUUAAAAUAAAUUAAACAAUCAUAGUGUCCAUAUAAUAAAAAUUAAAAAUAAUUAUUUAUAUAUUAUAUUUUAAAUUUUAAAAAACUAGUAUAAAUUAUUAAAACUGUUAAAAGUUUAACAUUCAGAUUUUGUGAUCUAUGAUUUAUAACUUUUGUUAUGACAUGAUACAAAUAAUUGAAAAAUAAUAUAAG